UGGUAUUUGUAUUACUAUAGGAAUGGUCA
This 29-nucleotide non-coding RNA is filed under the name Mus musculus (house mouse). Lineage: Eukaryota; Metazoa; Chordata; Mammalia; Rodentia; Muridae. The record is from RNAcentral.